GNUUCUUUGGAUUUUAAUAGAGAAUCUGGCCUGCCCACUGAAUUAAGUUAAAGGGCUGCAGUAUUUUGACUGUACAAAGGUAGCAUAAUCAUUAGUCUUUUAAUUGAAGACUGGAAUGAAUGGUUUGACAGGAUUACACUUGUCUCAGUAAUAGAAGGUUAAUUUUACAGUCCUUGUGAAAAGGCAAGGAUAAAUUAUAGGGACAGAGAAGACCCUAUAAAACUUAAUUUUAAUAGGUGUAUUAUUUAGAGGAUUAAUUUAAUAUAUUCGUUAAGGGUUUGCUGGGGCGGUAUUUAUUUUACAUAAAUUUGAUUAAAUAAUGAUGAUUACGCUUAAGAAAUGAUCCGAUAUUUUGGUCGAUAAAAAGAANAAGGUUACUUUAGGGAUAACAGCGUAAUGAUUUUUGAGAGUUCUUAUUGACGGAAUUGUUUGCGACCUCGAUGUUGGAUUAAGGAAUCUUUUUGGCGCAGUUGUUAAUAAAGAUAGGCC
RNAcentral lists this ribosomal RNA (489 nucleotides) under Narceus americanus. RNAcentral's name for it is "partial 16S ribosomal RNA". It matches the Rfam family "Bacterial large subunit ribosomal RNA", at positions 1819 to 2578 of the family's 2925-position model. Lineage: Eukaryota; Metazoa; Arthropoda; Diplopoda; Spirobolida; Spirobolidae. The record is from RNAcentral.